Molecule: ribosomal RNA, 264 nt
Filed under: Triticum aestivum (bread wheat)
Lineage: Eukaryota; Viridiplantae; Streptophyta; Magnoliopsida; Poales; Poaceae
Description: partial small subunit ribosomal RNA
Source: RNAcentral
AGCUCCAAGAAUACGCGGAGGAGGUGGCCCGGGUCGGCGUCGGCGCCGUCCGGCACGGGCCACGGGCCCGCUUCGAAGUGUGUCUGCACGCCGGCCACCCACGUCGGGUCCUUCAAGUGCCGUUUCCACCGCACCAACUCCCAGGGCCACGGCCACGGCCAGGGAAGCCGCCCUUCUUCGCCCCCUUCACCGGCUGUGGCCAACGCGGUGCCGCAGCACCCGGCCUCGCCGUUCUCGUCCUCUGGCACCGUUGCGACCCAGUGA